This is a long non-coding RNA of Apus apus (common swift), 1617 nucleotides long. RefSeq lists it as uncharacterized. The transcript has 5 exons. The record is from RefSeq and is a predicted model, not a curated record. NCBI's taxonomy places the organism in Eukaryota, Metazoa, Chordata, Aves, Apodiformes, Apodidae.
CCGCGCCGGGGGGGCGGGCGGAGGCCGAGGCGGAGCUGGGCCGGGAUGGCGGCGCCAGGGCGGGACCCGGGCCGGCUGGGUCGGCUGGUAGUGGCCACUGUGGUUCUGCUUACCUGGGGCUUCGUUCUCUAUGGGGCACGAGUGAUUGCCCAGCGGCAGCUGGAGAGCGGCCUCUUUGCUCCCAGGCUGCCCUAGGCCACCUCCAGGAGCUCAGCGUUGUCUUGAAGGGCACGGAGGGAUCUGUCUGAAGGCUGGAGGAGCCCUGUGGUUGCUUGGGCAAAUAAAGCAUAUAUAGCUCUUAGGAAAGAGAAGCUAGGAAGAGCAGAAGUCUUGUGACUCCUCUCCCACACCCUGCACAUAUCAGCAGCACAUUCAACCCACAGACCUCUUGAAGCUGAGGAAAAGUCUUCCUCUGGGGAGCCUGACCCUGCUUCCUGGGCUGUCAUGUCUUCCAGGGUCCUGUGGUCAGCAGCAGGAGUUCUUCCCACCAGGAACUCUGAGGCACCGUGCCAAAGACAAUGUCAAGGGUCUAAGAAACAUCCUCAGCUCCACAUCCUGGUGUCUGCCUGAAGCCCUGUCAGGAUGGUGGUGGCAGCAAGAGGCAACUUUUUUCUCCCAGGCUUGUGGACAACAUUGUGUGAAACUUGCAGCUGAAUGCUUUUGUCCAUUAUUAUCCAUCCACCGACUAAAAGAAGAAGGUCCAUGACUUCAACAACCUCUGCUUGGAAAUGCUGAGCUCUCCUCCCCACAGAGAAAAGUUUUGGAGUAUUUUACCUUGACAGAACAAAACUAAGCAAUGUUAACAUUUCAGCCCUUGUUUCCAUCUCUGUGCUGAUGGCACCUACUAGAACCUAUUCAAAAGGUAGUCAGUUAAACUAUUAUGUUUUGCUUCAGACAUGCAGCAUCCAGCCACAGGCUACAGAUUUUAUUGACUGCAACCAGGAGGGUUUUGCCUCAGAAAAGAACUCGGGGAUUUGGUCUAGUGUUAAAGGAGUCAGUUUCAUAAUAGACCCCUCCUCAAAAAAUUGUAGUUCAACUGGGCCUUGAUCCAAAGCACAGUGCAGGUAAUGACUUCAAGGAAGUCCAUCAGCACUCUUGUGUUGGGGGCAUUGAGUAACUGUAACACUGAGAGCCAAAUUUUUGUGGGAGUGUAAAGACAGCAUACAUCCCAUAGCGUCUACAGCCUUACAUAGAAGCGCUGCCAAAAGAAGUGAAGGGAAAUCCCAUCAUACUUGUUUCCCUGAGCAGUAGCUGAGGAGAGAGUUGGCUGUGCUCACAAGCAAGCUGGGAGCUAUCAGCUGACAGCAGUCUUCCCAAGGGUUCCAUGCCAGAGCAUCUUUCCAGGCCAGAGAGGGUUUCAAAGAGCCUUUUAAAAUAAACAGCUAACAUAUACUUUUGACUAAAGCCUUCUAAAGCUUUACUGCAACUGCAACAGCUGAUGGGAUUGGUGGGCUACAAAUGGAUGGCAGUGGAGGACUGUAGAGAUUAACAGGAAAAAAACCUGUAGUGUCACAGUGGACUUCCCCAGACUGAAAGGCAAGGAGUCUGAUGUUUAAAAAACUGAGGCAAUAGUAUUUGAUGGCUACCACUGCAAUAAACUGGAAAAACAGAGAAAUA